Molecule: long non-coding RNA, 4682 nt
Organism: Mya arenaria
Lineage: Eukaryota; Metazoa; Mollusca; Bivalvia; Myida; Myidae
Exons: 3
Source: RefSeq, a predicted model, not a curated record
AAACGGGGGAAAAAAUCAGCAAUUUGAAAAAAAUCAAAUAUUACAAUUUGGAACAGAAAAUUACAUUUCUAUGUAUGUCUGUAGUACUAGAUUCAUAAACAUAAUUAAAAUCUAAUAAAUAAUCAAAAAUUAUGAUUUUGUAAAAACGGCUCUCCAAUUGGGAAAAAUUCCAAUUGGAGAAUUCCACAGUCAAUUUCUAUAGAUAAAAGCCACCAAUUGGAGUUCACAGAAGUUGGUGAUCACAGAAGUUGGAGGAAUCACCAGUUGGAGACUUUCACCGUAUAACAUCUGCUGGGGAGAAAUAAAGUUGUGAUAUAUACAUGUCAUGAUAUUAUUGCUCAUUAAUUUAAUAUUGUAGAUUAUUCAAGAAAAUAACAUUGCAAGAUGUUACCUGAUUUCGAGUAUUACAUCGGUGUUUUCACUUGUGACGUUGUGUGCAAUCUAAAACAGUGAUCUUAAAUACAACUGCGUUAGAUUUGCGAAUUAUUUAUCCUUUUCUGAAGCCUUCUGGUCCUAGAUGCUCGAAAAUAUUAAAUACUUUUAAAAAGAAUAACUUACUAAUUUUCAUUUCCUGGUGGGCUCAAUUUGUGUCUUUCAGUUAAUCGAAUAGGUUAGAGAACACCAUCUUAUAUUGUCAGUAGGUACAUUAAACUAUGUUGACUUAGUGACAAACUUAAUUUGAUCACUCCAAUUUAAAGAAAAAAACCUUUCGAUGUGUAUCUUUUAUCCUAUGCAAAAGUGGCUUCUUUUUAUUAUUUCGUUUCCAUCACUCACGGUAUGUUAUUUUUCUUGUCAUAUGAAAUGGGUACAUAUAUGUAUGAUAGCACUAUCACGAACCUAUUACCAGUAUAGGUUAAACAAUUAUUUAUAAGUCAGUGAUAUUAUUUAUAAAUGUUCUAUAACAUUGUGUAUUGACUUAAUACUUCGUAAAAAAAUAAGCUCAACAAUCAUUCUUUGUUUCAGAAUUCAUCCAUUUCAAAUGAUUCUUUGAAAAGGAGCCAUUAUCUCGGUUCACUUAUUGUCAGGGUUUAGGAGCUGUAGCUAAAAGCAGUGACGAAAUUCGUUUACACUCUUAAAUUGUGCUCAGUUACAUUGAACACCUGCCAUAACUGAAUGAUAGCUUUACAUUGAUAAAUAAGAAGUAAAUAUAUCCAAAUACUAUUGCAAGUGGUAUUUUUUUGCAAAAGUGUAUAGCCCUUCACGCAAUUCAUGAUAGUUUAAAAACUCAUGUCUUGAAUGACAUUAUCUUUGAUCAAGUAUACGUUCUAAGCAUUAGGAAUGAUAUUGUUCAUAUUGUUUCAUCCUGCUACCUGUUUGCAUGUUUUUGUUCGUUUAUCAAAUAUACGCAUGUACUUUGCUUAUCAAUAUCAUGUCCACGUGUUUGUGAAUGGAGGAUAAAGAUACUGUAAUAAUGUUUCAAAGAUGAAUAUCGUUAAACACGUUGAUUAAAUAUUAACAUAUUUUUAAAUCACAUAAGUCACGGUGACAUUUAUGAGAGUUAGGCGAAGAUUUUGUGAUGGAUUUUAUAUUUGCUACUGUACAGUAGGGGAGGUUACUGCGUAGGAGACGAACAUUUUCUUAAACCGGUUUAGCAUCAAAUCAAGUAGGACCUACUCCGGUGACCUCAGACGAACAUUCGUGUAAAAAUGGAUUGAAAUGGACAAUCAUAAAAUUUUGGGCUAUGGACUUAUUGAAGACAACUGUAUGGAGAUAAACAGAAACACAGAGGUGCUAUACUUUCUGAUGGAAAAGACAACAAAAGCAUCUCCCAUCAUUUUGGCGUGGCUCAGAUCAAGAGGAGAAAUUUAAAAAAGGUGAUGGUUGGGCACAAACAAGAAGACAUAGAUCACAGGCGUAUAGCAUAUGAGUAGACAGGAGUUUCACACUCUGCCAGACUUACUUCCUCAGACGAGCAGAUUUAGGCUUCUCAAGAUCACGCACUGCACACUAAGACAUAGUCUUUGACUACAACAAGGCCUUAGGGGAUGAAAGUACAGAGAGGUCCAAUUGAAAUCAAUUCUGUGCUGCGUCAUUUCUUUAUUCUAGAGGUUGAUGGACAUGAUUUAUGGCAUCAAGUGUGCAGUUUGUCAACUAACUAUCAACACAGCAGUCUUGUUCACCAGCUGCUCAACUUGAGCUUUUAGCUUUAUUGCUUGAAGCCACUGUAUAAGAGGAGGGAAGGUGCAGACUCAUCAAAAAGUCUCAAGGUUGAAACUAGGAAGAGAAGUUUGUCAAGAGUGUGAAUAUUUGCUUUGAAAACAAUUGUUACAAUGAUUUGGUUUCCUUUGAAACUUGAUACAUACUAUGUGUAUGUUGAAUGAAUUGAGAUGCUUAAAUAAAGAACCACUAUUCAAAUAUCAGGAAACUGCAUUUUUCAUACUAAAUUGGUAAAUGAUGUCACCAUUUCCUGUAUGUAUUUAGAUAAGAUAUGUUUCCACAAUUAAUAUUUUUAGGGACUAUUUCUCAACGUAAUGAAAUAGAUUAAAUUUGUACAGCGUGAUAUGAGCUUAAUAUGUGUUUUCUGUUUCCUUAAAAUUGAUGAAAAAUUGUCAGAAGGUAAUGAGACCAGUAUCCAUUACUGCAAUCAUACAAUAAAAAAUACAGGGACAAGCCCACUGCUCAUAUAAUAUGAUUAAACCUUGUUUAGGGGCAUGAGGCAAACAGAGUUACUUUCAAAUGUUAAAGAUGCACUCUCACACUUUGGAUGUUUUGACAACUGUUUUCAUUUUUAGCUCUACUGGCCAAAGGCCAGAAGAGCUUAUGCGAUGGUAAUGUGUACGUAGUAUGUGCAUCUGUAAACAAUCCUCGUUUACAUGAUACAGCCUACAGUUCCUUUCGAAAACCAGCCAGAUCCGCCCAUGUAUGCCUAGUUUAUGGGCCUUGAUAGUAUACAAAAAUCAGUGUGUCAGUAGGCAAUUGCUCGUUAACAUGAUACAGCCUUUUUGAUUGUAUCUCAAUGAAACUUGUACAGUAUCUACAUAUCCAUAUGAGCUCGGUUCCUUUCGAAAACCAGCCAGAUCUGCCCAUGCAUGCCAAGAUUAUGGGCCUUGAUAAUAAAAAAAAAUAGUGUGUCAGUAAACAAUUGCUCGGUAACACGAUACAGUCUUCAGUUUUGAUUGUAUCUUGAUGAAACUUGUCCAGUAUAUCCAUUAGAGCUCAGUUCCUUUCAAAAACCUGAUCUGCCCAUGUUUCCUGGAUUAUUGGCCUUGAAAUUAUUAGAUGAUGGGCCUUGAUAGUAUAAAAAAUGCUAUUUUGUAAUAAAUGCUUGCGAAUAUGAUACAGUCUUCAGUUUUGAGUAUUCAGAUACCCAUAAGGGGUUGGUUCUUUUCGAAAACAGUGAUGUUGACCACACAAACCCAGCCAGUAGAGCAUAGGCCCUUUUGGGCCUCUUGUUUGUUUUGGAUUGGUACCAUCCAGUCUUUGCGAAAAAUGCAUGGAAACCAGUAAUAUAAGACUACUGACAAAAAAUUCAAUUGCAGACUUUUUUAUUUAAGUUAAAACAUUGAUGUUUUAUGCACUUUUCUUAAACCGUUAGUAACAUUAAUCUUCGAAGGAAAUAUGAAAUCUGGGAUUUGAUGUUUUGUCAGCAAUCUUUUACCAUUGGUUUGCUGAUAUUUACGCAAAAAUUUGCUCAUUCCAAGACAAAACAAAAGUUGUUAAAACGGUAUAUCUGUGAGAAUGCAGCUCUAAAUGUUUUGGCAAACAUGUUUUUGAUUUGGCAGCACAAUCAAUCUUGAACAUUGCUUGAUUUUACUGCUGUAUUAGAAAUUACAGGGGGAAUGGGGGAUUUUUUUUAGUGUUUUUAUUGCUUUUUGUGAUUCAUACAGUCAUACUUCAUUCCCCAGGGCACAACUUACAAAUAGACAGAACAGGAAAAUGGUCAUUUUAAAAGGUCAAGGACAAUGCAAGUUGAACAAUCAUAUUGUUCAUGGCUUGUAUUUUUGGUAUAUUUUGUUGCAUAUAUGCUAUAAAAAAAGUUGAAAGUUAAAAAUAACUUCAUAGUUGAAAUGAUGGCUUUGAAUGGUUUUGUCAGUUGAGAAACAGCACUAUUAAGAAAUAUGUUAAUGGUACUUUAUUAUUUUAAUCAAUUUUAGAUAUUUGUAUGAAAAUUAUUAUCUUAUUUUGUACAUGAGACCUUUUAAACAGUUAUUUAUAAUUUAACAAUGUGUAAAUGAUCAAAACUUAAAGCUGCACUUUCACAGAUUGUCAUUUUAGACACUUUAAAAAUUUUGUCUCAAAAGCUGAUUUGGUUAUCAUUCCUUUAAUUCAGUCAUAUUAGAUAAUUCACAAUAGAACCAAUCAAAAAUGUUUGGUAAGACUGCCGAAAAGUUCAUUUACAUUAAAUUGUUCGUAAUGUUACUAUACCCAUAAAACAUCAUUUUAGCCAUAAAUAUGACAAAAUGCAAUCUGAUCUUAUUUCAGAAGUCUUAUAUCACUUAAAAUUGGGUCUAUGCAAAAAAUGGUCUAUUUAUAGACCAACAAUAAAAGAGUGCCGGUAGUCAAAACGAUCAAUUAGUGAGAUUGCAGCUUUAAAUACACCUUUUUAAGUCCGCUGUAAAAUUCCAAUGGUUUGCCUCAAUCUUUAAAGCUAGCAUACUGUUUAAUUGACAGCCAUACUUUUUGUUUAAAAGUGUCAUGAUAUGUUUGUACAAUGUGUUUAUAUAAUUCAUUAAAGAAGUCAA